RNAcentral lists this ribosomal RNA (1522 nucleotides) under metagenome. Its description in RNAcentral is "bacterial SSU rRNA". It matches the Rfam family "Bacterial small subunit ribosomal RNA". The record is from RNAcentral.
AGAGUUUGAUCAUGGCUCAGAUUGAACGCUGGCGGCAGGCCUAACACAUGCAAGUCGAACGGUAACAGGAAACAGCUUGCUGUUUCGCUGACGAGUGGCGGACGGGUGAGUAAUGUCUGGGAAACUGCCUGAUGGAGGGGGAUAACUACUGGAAACGGUAGCUAAUACCGCAUAACGUCGCAAGACCAAAGAGGGGGACCUUCGGGCCUCUUGCCAUCAGAUGUGCCCAGAUGGGAUUAGCUAGUAGGUGGGGUAACGGCUCACCUAGGCGACGAUCCCUAGCUGGUCUGAGAGGAUGACCAGCCACACUGGAACUGAGACACGGUCCAGACUCCUACGGGAGGCAGCAGUGGGGAAUAUUGCACAAUGGGCGCAAGCCUGAUGCAGCCAUGCCGCGUGUAUGAAGAAGGCCUUCGGGUUGUAAAGUACUUUCAGCGGGGAGGAAGGGAGUAAAGUUAAUACCUUUGCUCAUUGACGUUACCCGCAGAGGAAGCACCGGCUAACUCCGUGCCAGCAGCCGCGGUAAUACGGAGGGUGCAAGCGUUAAUCGGGAUUACUGGGCGUAAAGCGCACGCAGGCGGUUUGUUAAGUCAGAUGUGAAAUCCCCGGGCUCAACCUGGGAACUGCAUCUGAUACUGGCAAGCUUGAGUCUCGUAGAGGGGGGUAGAAUUCCAGGUGUAGCGGUGAAAUGCGUAGAGAUCUGGAGGAAUACCGGUGGCGAAGGCGGCCCCCUGGACGAAGACUGACGCUCAGGUGCGAAAGCGUGGGGAGCAAACAGGAUUAGAUACCCUGGUAGUCCACGCCGUAAACGAUGUCGACUUGGAGGUUGUGCCCUUGAGGCGUGGCUUCCGGAGCUAACGCGUUAAGUCGACCGCCUGGGGAGUACGGCCGCAAGGUUAAAACUCAAAUGAAUUGACGGGGGCCCGCACAAGCGGUGGAGCAUGUGGUUUAAUUCGAUGCAACGCGAAGAACCUUACCUGGUCUUGACAUCCACGGAAGUUUUCAGAGAUGAGAAUGUGCCUUCGGGAACCGUGAGACAGGUGCUGCAUGGCUGUCGUCAGCUCGUGUUGUGAAAUGUUGGGUUAAGUCCCGCAACGAGCGCAACCCUUAUCCUUUGUUGCCAGCGGUCCGGCCGGGAACUCAAAGGAGACUGCCAGUGAUAAACUGGAGGAAGGUGGGGAUGACGUCAAGUCAUCAUGGCCCUUACGACCAGGGCUACACACGUGCUACAAUGGCGCAUACAAAGAGAAGCGACCUCGCGAGAGCAAGCGGACCUCAUAAAGUGCGUCGUAGUCCGGAUUGGAGUCUGCAACUCGACUCCAUGAAGUCGGAAUCGCUAGUAAUCGUGGAUCAGAAUGCCACGGUGAAUACGUUCCCGGGCCUUGUACACACCGCCCGUCACACCAUGGGAGUGGGUUGCAAAAGAAGUAGGUAGCUUAACCUUCGGGAGGGCGCUUACCACUUUGUGAUUCAUGACUGGGGUGAAGUCGUAACAAGGUAACCGUAGGGGAACCUGCGGUUG